ACAACUCUUAGCGGUGGAUCACUCGGCUCGUGUGUCGAUGAAGAGCGCAGCCAGCUGCGUUAACUAAUGUGAAUUGCAGGACACAUUGAACAUCGAAAUCUUGAACGCACAUUGCGGCAGAGGUCCCGCCUCUGCCACGUCUGUCUCAGGGUCUGUGG
Molecule: ribosomal RNA, 158 nt
Filed under: Glycinde armigera
Lineage: Eukaryota; Metazoa; Annelida; Polychaeta; Phyllodocida; Goniadidae
Description: 5.8S ribosomal RNA
Rfam family: 5.8S ribosomal RNA
About the family: 5.8S ribosomal RNA (5.8S rRNA) is a component of the large subunit of the eukaryotic ribosome. It is transcribed by RNA polymerase I as part of the 45S precursor that also contains 18S and 28S rRNA.
Source: RNAcentral